This 120-nucleotide ribosomal RNA is filed under the name uncultured bacterium. Its description in RNAcentral is "partial 16S ribosomal RNA". It matches the Rfam family "Bacterial small subunit ribosomal RNA", at positions 28 to 156 of the family's 1533-position model. The record is from RNAcentral.
GACGAACGCUGGCGGCGUGCUUAACACAUGCAAGUCAAGGGGGGCCCGCAAGGGUCAACCGGCGAACGGGUGCGUAACACGUGAGCGACCUACCUUCUUGCGGGGGAUAGCCGGCCUAAC